UACGUAGGGGGCAAGCGUUGUCCGGAAUUAUUGGGCGUAAAGAGCGUGUAGGCGGUCCGGUAAGUCAGCUGUGAAAGUCAAGGGCUCAACCCUUGAAUGCCGGUUGAUACUGUCGGGCUAGAGUCCGGAAGAGGCGAGUGGAAUUCCCGGUGUAGCGGUGAAAUGCGCAGAUAUCGGGAGGAACACCAAUGGCGAAGGCAGCUCGCUGGGACGGUACUGACGCUGAGACGCGGAAGCGUGGGGAGCGAACAGG
Molecule: ribosomal RNA, 253 nt
Filed under: uncultured bacterium
Lineage: Bacteria
Description: partial 16S ribosomal RNA
Rfam family: Bacterial small subunit ribosomal RNA
Source: RNAcentral